GUACGUACAAGCAGUGGGAGCCCCACCACCAAAGCAUUCUCUGGUGUUGAAGGCCCUGCAAAGCAGCAUCGCGGUGGCGGAGCGUCGUUUGCGACGCCCAACACACAAAACAAGCGGUGAAUGCUUUGGGGUGGGGUGACUGCGUACCUUUUGUAUAAUGGGUCAGCGACUUAUAUUCUGUAGCAAGGUUAACCGAAUAGGGGAGCCGGAGGGAAACCGAGUCUUAAUUGGGCGUUAAGUUGCAGGGUAUAGACCCGAAACCCGGUGAUCUAGCCAUGGGCAGGUUGAAGGUUGGGUAACACUAACUGGAGGACCGAACCGACUAAUGUUGAAAAAUUAGCGGAUGACCUGUGGCUGGGGGUGAAAGGCCAAUCAAACCGGGAGAUAGCUGGUUCUCCCCGAAAGCUAUUUAGGUAGCGCCUCGUGAAUUCAUCUCCGGGGGUAGAGCACUGUUUCGGCUAGGGGGCCAUCCCGGCUUACCAACCCGAUGCAAACUGCGAAUACCGGAGAAUGUUAUCACGGGAGACACACGGCGGGUGCUAACGUCCGUCGUGAAGAGGGAAACAACCCAGACCGCCAGCUAAGGUCCCAAAGUCAUGGUUAAGUGGGAAACGAUGUGGGAAGGCCCAGACAGCCAGGAUGUUGGCUUAGAAGCAGCCAUCAUUUAAAGAAAGCGUAAUAGCUCACUGGUCGAGUCGGCCUGCGCGGAAGAUGUAACGGGGCUAAACCAU
RNAcentral lists this ribosomal RNA (731 nucleotides) under Salmonella enterica subsp. enterica serovar Typhimurium. Its description in RNAcentral is "partial 23S ribosomal RNA". It matches the Rfam family "Bacterial large subunit ribosomal RNA", at positions 560 to 1190 of the family's 2925-position model. Lineage: Bacteria; Pseudomonadati; Pseudomonadota; Gammaproteobacteria; Enterobacterales; Enterobacteriaceae. The record is from RNAcentral.